Glycine soja is the source of this 595-nucleotide long non-coding RNA. RefSeq lists it as uncharacterized. NCBI's taxonomy places the organism in Eukaryota, Viridiplantae, Streptophyta, Magnoliopsida, Fabales, Fabaceae. The record is from RefSeq and is a predicted model, not a curated record. The transcript has 3 exons.
CCGAUAGAGAUGUUGCUAUCGCUGGCUGAAGACACGUGAGUCCGCUCAGAGUGUUGUGUUCGUGACCAUUCAUCUGAGGCUUCUCUAUCAACUUUCUUAUUAAGUCAAUCGCUCCUUAUCUUUUCAAGAAUGCGACCAUGGUGGUCAUUCCAGUGGUAACGUGCAACCCCAUAUUAAUCCUACUAGGGGUCAUGCUUGUGCUUCUAGGGAUAUGGAGGAUGGUGUUUGGUUAGUGAGGGACAAUGUAGGUGCAACCUAGCACAGGACAUAACUUACUCCUUGUUAGUGGUCCUCUGAUGAAGAAACCAUUCUUAACGUGGACAAGGGUAAAAAGGUCAUUGGUGGUGUUGGAAAAAAAGUAGAUCAGAUUAAGAGGCCAUUAAUUGUUGAACCAAAUGAAGACCCUUAUGUUCCUUACCAAACUUUUACGAAAUUUAUAUUUGUAUCUAGUAGUAGUAGAUUUACACAACAUUAAAUUUAUUUUACACCCUUUAUUUAUAGUUAACACUUUAUUAACUCAUUAGAUUAUGAGUAUUGACAUUAAAUGUGAUCAUCAUUUACAAUUAGGAGUGAAAAUAUGUUGGACUAACACGGG